GCCCCUUUAGCUCAAUUGGUAGAGCAACGGUAUCGUAAACCGUAGGUUGCUGGUUCAAUUCCAACAAGGGGCU
RNAcentral lists this transfer RNA (73 nucleotides) under Candidatus Kuenenbacteria bacterium HGW-Kuenenbacteria-1. RNAcentral describes it as "tRNA-Thr". It matches the Rfam family "tRNA". From Rfam's summary of the family: Transfer RNA (tRNA) molecules are approximately 80 nucleotides in length. Their secondary structure includes four short double-helical elements and three loops (D, anti-codon, and T loops). Further hydrogen bonds mediate the characteristic L-shaped molecular structure. tRNAs have two regions of fundamental functional importance: the anti-codon, which is responsible for specific mRNA codon recognition, and the 3' end, to which the tRNAs corresponding amino acid is attached (by aminoacyl-tRNA synthetases). tRNAs cope with the degeneracy of the genetic code in two manners: having more than one tRNA (with a specific anti-codon) for a particular amino acid; and 'wobble' base-pairing, i.e. permitting non-standard base-pairing at the 3rd anti-codon position. Lineage: Bacteria; Candidatus Kueneniibacteriota. The record is from RNAcentral.